AGUGAACGCUGGCGGUAGGCCUAACACAUGCAAGUCGAGCGGCAGCACAGUAAGAGUUUGCUCUUACGGGUGGCGAGUGGCGGACGGGUGAGGAAUACAUCGGAAUCUACUUUUUCGUGGGGGAUAACGUAGGGAAACUUACGCUAAUACCGCAUACGACCUACGGGUGAAAGCAGGGGAUCUUCGGACCUUGCGCGAUUGAAUGAGCCGAUGUCGGAUUAGCUAGUUGGCGGGGUAAAGGCCCACCAAGGCGACGAUCCGUAGCUGGUCUGAGAGGAUGAUCAGCCACACUGGAACUGAGACACGGUCCAGACUCCUACGGGAGGCAGCAGUGGGGAAUAUUGGACAAUGGGCGCAAGCCUGAUCCAGCCAUACCGCGUGGGUGAAGAAGGCCUUCGGGUUGUAAAGCCCUUUUGUUGGGAAAGAAAAGCAGCAGGUUAAUACCCCGCUGUUCUGACGGUACCCAAAGAAUAAGCACCGGCUAACUUCGUG
This 492-nucleotide ribosomal RNA is filed under the name uncultured bacterium. RNAcentral's name for it is "partial 16S ribosomal RNA". It matches the Rfam family "Bacterial small subunit ribosomal RNA", at positions 29 to 507 of the family's 1533-position model. The record is from RNAcentral.